GCGGCGAUGGCUCAGUCGUUAGAGUAUCGGGCUAGUAAUCCAGAGGUCCUUGGUUCAAGCCUGAGUCUUGGCG
Molecule: transfer RNA, 73 nt
Organism: Trichomalopsis sarcophagae
Lineage: Eukaryota; Metazoa; Arthropoda; Insecta; Hymenoptera; Pteromalidae
Rfam family: tRNA
About the family: Transfer RNA (tRNA) molecules are approximately 80 nucleotides in length. Their secondary structure includes four short double-helical elements and three loops (D, anti-codon, and T loops). Further hydrogen bonds mediate the characteristic L-shaped molecular structure. tRNAs have two regions of fundamental functional importance: the anti-codon, which is responsible for specific mRNA codon recognition, and the 3' end, to which the tRNAs corresponding amino acid is attached (by aminoacyl-tRNA synthetases). tRNAs cope with the degeneracy of the genetic code in two manners: having more than one tRNA (with a specific anti-codon) for a particular amino acid; and 'wobble' base-pairing, i.e. permitting non-standard base-pairing at the 3rd anti-codon position.
Source: Rfam